GAUGAAGAACGCAGCGAAAUGCGAUAAGUAAUGUGAAUUGCAGAAUUCAGUGAAUCAUCGAAUCUUUGAACGCAUCUUGCGCUCCUUGGUAUUCUGAGGAGCAUGCCUGUUUGAGUGUCAUUACACCACUCAAGCUAUGCUUGGUAUUGGGCGUCGUCCUUAGUUGGGCGCGCCUUAAAGACCUCGGCGAGGCCACUCCGGCUUUAGGCGUAGUAGAAUUUAUUCGAACGUCUGUCAAAGGAGAGGAACUCUGCCGACUGAAACCUUUAUUUUUCUAGGUUGACCUCGGAUCAGGUAGGGAUACCCGCUGAACUUAAGCAUAUCAAUAAGCGGAGGA
Molecule: unclassified non-coding RNA, 337 nt
Filed under: soil metagenome
Description: partial contains 5.8S ribosomal RNA, internal transcribed spacer 2, and large subunit ribosomal RNA
Rfam family: 5.8S ribosomal RNA (bases 1-120)
Source: RNAcentral